UGGGGAAUAUUGCACAAUGGGCGAAAGCCUGAUGCAGCAACGCCGCGUGAGUGAUGAAGGCCUUCGGGUUGUAAAGCUCUGUCUUUUGGGACGAUAAUGACGGUACCAAAGGAGGAAGCCACGGCUAACUACGUGCCAGCAGCCGCGGUAAUACGUAGGUGGCAAGCGUUGUCCGGAUUUACUGGGCGUAAAGGAUGCGUAGGCGGAUUUUUAAGUGAGAUGUGAAAUACCCGGGCUUAACUUGGGUGUUGCAUUUCAAACUGGGAAUCUAGAGUGCGGGAGAGGAGAAUGGAAUUCCUAGUGUAGCGGUGAAAUGCGUAGAGAUUAGGAAGAACACCAGUGGCGAAGGCGAUUCUCUGGACCGUAACUGACGCUGAGGCAUGAAAGCGUGGGUAGCAAACAGGAUUAGAUACCCUGGUAGUCCACGCCGUAAACGAUGAGUACUAGGUGUAGGAGGUAUCGACCCCUUCUGUGCCGCAGUUAACACAAUAAGUACUCCGCCUGGGAAGUACGAUCGCAAGAUUAAAAACUC
Molecule: ribosomal RNA, 532 nt
Filed under: uncultured bacterium
Lineage: Bacteria
Description: partial 16S ribosomal RNA
Rfam family: Bacterial small subunit ribosomal RNA
Source: RNAcentral